Molecule: non-coding RNA, 73 nt
Organism: Encephalitozoon romaleae SJ-2008
Lineage: Eukaryota; Fungi; Microsporidia; Unikaryonidae
Source: the annotation of a RefSeq genome assembly
GCCUGGCUAGCUCAAUAGGUAGAGCGACAGACUCUUAAUCUGUAGGCUGUGGGUUCGAGUCCCGCGCUGGGUA